GAUAGCCGGGCGGGCGGUGCCCGCGACGGUGCCGGCGUCGGUUCCGGCGUCGGUGCCGGUGUCGGUGUCGGUUCCGGUGCCCGCGGCCGUCCC
Molecule: transfer RNA, 93 nt
Filed under: Streptomyces parvus
Lineage: Bacteria; Bacillati; Actinomycetota; Actinomycetes; Kitasatosporales; Streptomycetaceae
Description: tRNA-Gly
Source: RNAcentral